Molecule: ribosomal RNA, 482 nt
Filed under: uncultured bacterium
Lineage: Bacteria
Description: partial 16S ribosomal RNA
Rfam family: Bacterial small subunit ribosomal RNA
Source: RNAcentral
AGUGAACGUUGGCGGCGUGGAUUAGGCAUGCAAGUCGAGCGAGAACCGUAGCAAUACGGGGACAGCGGCGAAAGGGACAGUAAUGUGUAGGUACCUACCUCCGGGUUCGGGAUAGCUGCGGGAAACUGCAGGUAAUACCGAAUAACGUCUCCGGACCAAAGGUGUGAUUCCACCUGGAGAGGGGCCUGCAUCCUAUUAGCUAGUUGGGGAGGUAACGGCUCACCAAGGCGACGAUGGGUAGCGGGUGUGAGAGCACGACCCGCGUCAUUGGGACUGAGAAAGUGCCCAGACACCAACGGGUGGCUGCAGUCGAGAAUCUUCGGCAAGGGGCGCAAGCCUGACCGAGCGACGCCGCGUGCGGGAUGAAGGCCUUCGGGUUGUAAACCGCUGUCGUAGAGGAGGAAAUGCAGGGGGGUUCUCCCCUCUGUUUGACCUAUUCUAGGAGGAAGGACGGGCUAAGUUCGUGCCAGCCGCCGCAGUAA